This 494-nucleotide ribosomal RNA is filed under the name uncultured bacterium. Its description in RNAcentral is "partial 16S ribosomal RNA". It matches the Rfam family "Bacterial small subunit ribosomal RNA", at positions 28 to 507 of the family's 1533-position model. The record is from RNAcentral.
GACGAACGCUGGCGGCGUGCUUAACACAUGCAAGUCGAACGGUGAAGCGCCUUCCUUUUUGGUGGGUGUGGAUGAGUGGCGAACGUGUGAGUAACACGUGAGUAACCUGCCCCCUUCUUCUGGAUAACCGCAUGAAAGUGUGGCUAAUACGGGAUAUUCUGGGUCUGUCGCAUGAUGGGUCUGGGAAAGAUAUUGUUUCGGUGGGGGAUGGGCUCGCGGCCUAUCAGCUUGUUGGUGGGGUGAUGGCCUACCAAGGCGGUGACGGGUAGCCGGCCUGAGAGGGUGGACGGUCACACUGGGACUGAGACACGGCCCAGACUCCUACGGGAGGCAGCAGUGGGGAAUAUUGCACAAUGGGCGCAAGCCUGAUGCAGCGACGCCGCGUGAGGGAUGGAGGCCUUCGGGUUGUGAACCUCUUUCACCAGUGAAGCAGGCCUGCCUCGUUUGUGGGUGGGUUGACGGUAGCUGGAUAAGAAGCGCCGGCUAACUACGUG